This 258-nucleotide ribosomal RNA is filed under the name uncultured bacterium. RNAcentral describes it as "partial 16S ribosomal RNA". It matches the Rfam family "Bacterial small subunit ribosomal RNA", at positions 524 to 778 of the family's 1533-position model. The record is from RNAcentral.
UACGUAGGGGCCUAGCGUUGUCCGGAAUUAUUGGGCGUAAAGAGCUCGUAGGCGGUUCGGCAAGUCGGAUGUGAAAUCUCCACGCUUAACGUGGAGGGGCCAUUCGAAACUGCUGUGACUCGAGUCCGGUAGGGGAGUGUGGAAUUCCCGGUGUAGCGGUGAAAUGCGCAGAUAUCGGGAGGAACACCAGUAGCGAAGGCGGCACUCUGGGCCGGUACUGGACGCUGAGGAGCGAAAGCGAUGGGGAGCGAACGAGGA